Molecule: non-coding RNA, 106 nt
Filed under: Fictibacillus arsenicus
Lineage: Bacteria; Bacillati; Bacillota; Bacilli; Caryophanales; Fictibacillaceae
Description: SAM-I sequence
Rfam family: SAM riboswitch aptamer (S box leader)
About the family: The SAM riboswitch is found upstream of a number of genes which code for proteins involved in methionine or cysteine biosynthesis in Gram-positive bacteria. The SAM riboswitch acts at the level of transcription termination control. The predicted structure consists of a complex stem-loop region followed by a single stem loop terminator region.
Source: Rfam by way of RNAcentral
CUCUUAUCCAGAGUGGUGAAGGGAACUGGCCCGAUGAAACCCGGCAACCUGCGAUUCGUAAGGUGCUAACUCCAGCAGAAUGUUUUUACAUUUUGGAAGAUAAGGU